Molecule: non-coding RNA, 26 nt
Filed under: Homo sapiens (human)
Lineage: Eukaryota; Metazoa; Chordata; Mammalia; Primates; Hominidae
Source: RNAcentral
UGAUGAUUUUGGAGCUGUGAGAUUGA